RNAcentral lists this ribosomal RNA (498 nucleotides) under uncultured Glomeromycotina. RNAcentral's name for it is "partial small subunit ribosomal RNA". It matches the Rfam family "Eukaryotic small subunit ribosomal RNA", at positions 591 to 1092 of the family's 1831-position model. Lineage: Eukaryota; Fungi; Glomeromycota. The record is from RNAcentral.
CCAAUAGCGUAUAUUAAAGUUGUUGCAGUUAAAAAGCUCGUAGUUGAAUUUCGGGAUCAGUACGCUGGUCGUGCCUCUGGUAUGUACUGGUGUUACUGGUUCCUCCCUUCUGACGAACUGUCAUGUCAUUAAUUUGGUGUGGCGGGGAAUCAGGACUGUUACUUUGAAAAAAUUAGAGUGUUUAAAGCAGGCCCGCGCUUGAAUACAUUAGCAUGGAAUAAUGAAAUAGGACGUUCGAUCCUAUUUUGUUGGUUUCUAGGAUUGACGUAAUGAUUAAUAGGGAUAGUUGGGGGCAUUAGUAUUCAAUUGUCAGAGGUGAAAUUCUUGGAUUUAUUGAAGACUAACUACUGCGAAAGCAUUUGCCAAGGAUGUUUUCAUUAAUCAAGAACGAAAGUUAGGGGAUCGAAGACGAUCAGAUACCGUCGUAGUCUUAACCAUAAACUAUGCCGACUAGGGAUCGGAUGAUGUUAUUUUUAAUGACUCAUUCGGCGCCUUACG